AUGGGAACCAGGUUCGUUACGUUUGUCGAUAUGGUGUUAGCACUCCACAAGGGAACCAUAGAAGAGUUUGAUAUAUCAGGUAACAAAAGUUACCAGGAUGAGUUCGCUAGGUGGAUGCUCAUGCUGUCAAGGAGAUCACCAAGGUCAGUUAUAAUCAAGUUGAACUCAGGGAUAAGGUAUAAGAUUUCCUCAUACCUCUUUUCAAUCGGUGAUUUGAAGUUUCUGCAACUAGAAAACUGCAUCAUCAACUUGCCCCGGGCAUUCCAAGGCAUCAACCAACUAAACAUUCAAGCUCCUAAGGUAGAAUAUCUUAUUGUUUAUGGGGACUUUGAAGACAUUAAUUUGGACGCCCCUAAUCUGAAGUUGGCCAUCCUCUAUCUAGGUCACCAAGCUAAAGCAUAUCAAUAUGUUCCAAUUGCGCAUGACAAAGAAAACCAUGCCAAGAAGUCAUUGGGAAGCCUAAGUGAGAUCAAAACACUUGGAAUCACUGGAAGUUUCAUGAAGUAUCUAUCAAAAGGGUGUAUACUUGCGAAGCUCCCUGCUGUGUUUACUCACCUCGAGAAUAUUUAUCUUAUUAUAUGCUUUUGGGACCAGAGGCAAGUCUUCGCCGCUUAUUCAUUAUUUCAAAAUGCCCCUAAUUAA
Molecule: ribosomal RNA, 642 nt
Filed under: Triticum aestivum (bread wheat)
Lineage: Eukaryota; Viridiplantae; Streptophyta; Magnoliopsida; Poales; Poaceae
Description: partial small subunit ribosomal RNA
Source: RNAcentral